This 81-nucleotide transfer RNA is filed under the name Candidatus Aphodenecus pullistercoris. Its description in RNAcentral is "tRNA-Leu". It matches the Rfam family "tRNA". From Rfam's summary of the family: Transfer RNA (tRNA) molecules are approximately 80 nucleotides in length. Their secondary structure includes four short double-helical elements and three loops (D, anti-codon, and T loops). Further hydrogen bonds mediate the characteristic L-shaped molecular structure. tRNAs have two regions of fundamental functional importance: the anti-codon, which is responsible for specific mRNA codon recognition, and the 3' end, to which the tRNAs corresponding amino acid is attached (by aminoacyl-tRNA synthetases). tRNAs cope with the degeneracy of the genetic code in two manners: having more than one tRNA (with a specific anti-codon) for a particular amino acid; and 'wobble' base-pairing, i.e. permitting non-standard base-pairing at the 3rd anti-codon position. Lineage: Bacteria; Pseudomonadati; Spirochaetota; Spirochaetia; Spirochaetales. The record is from RNAcentral.
GCCCGGAUGGCGAAACUGGUAUACGCAAGGGACUUAAAAUCCCUCGACUCUGUCAUGCGGGUCCGAGCCCCGCUCCGGGCA